AAGCUAGAAUAAUCGCAUGAUGUAUCUCCAGCUAUUGACUUGCGGGAACCGUCUUUUACGUCUUCCUGUAAACCAUAAAACAAGUGAUAUAGUUGGUCAUUUUUCGUGCAAUAU
Molecule: small nuclear RNA, 114 nt
Organism: Eremothecium sinecaudum
Lineage: Eukaryota; Fungi; Ascomycota; Saccharomycetes; Saccharomycetales; Saccharomycetaceae
Source: RefSeq, a predicted model, not a curated record